This 83-nucleotide transfer RNA is filed under the name Felis catus (domestic cat). It matches the Rfam family "tRNA". Rfam says of the family: Transfer RNA (tRNA) molecules are approximately 80 nucleotides in length. Their secondary structure includes four short double-helical elements and three loops (D, anti-codon, and T loops). Further hydrogen bonds mediate the characteristic L-shaped molecular structure. tRNAs have two regions of fundamental functional importance: the anti-codon, which is responsible for specific mRNA codon recognition, and the 3' end, to which the tRNAs corresponding amino acid is attached (by aminoacyl-tRNA synthetases). tRNAs cope with the degeneracy of the genetic code in two manners: having more than one tRNA (with a specific anti-codon) for a particular amino acid; and 'wobble' base-pairing, i.e. permitting non-standard base-pairing at the 3rd anti-codon position. RNAcentral also lists the same sequence under 2 other names. Lineage: Eukaryota; Metazoa; Chordata; Mammalia; Carnivora; Felidae. The record is from Rfam by way of RNAcentral.
GCCUGAGUGGCUCAGUCAGUUGAGCUUCUGACUUCGGCUCAGGUCGUGAUCUCAGCUCAUGAGUUCGAUCCCCAUAUUGGGUU